This is a long non-coding RNA of Equus caballus (horse), 426 nucleotides long. RefSeq lists it as uncharacterized. The record is from RefSeq and is a predicted model, not a curated record. NCBI's taxonomy places the organism in Eukaryota, Metazoa, Chordata, Mammalia, Perissodactyla, Equidae.
UCCAUGGUAAUCCCUGGCAGGUGGAAGUGAGCAGGAGGCUCCAUGUAGCCUUGGUAGUGCUGGAUCCAGAGGUCUUAAUGGAAGUGUUUGGAGGUCACUUGAAAGUAUGUGUGAGGCAGAUGGUGAGUCUGAUGAGGAACCUGAAGAUCACUUUAUCCUGGUGCUCGUGGCCUACUUGGUGUGCUGUCCCUUAGGAGCUGUGGCCAUGUACUAUUCUGAACAGACAAGGAAACACAACUAUAAGAAUGAACGAGACCUGGCAGCCGAGGCUUCCCGCUAUGCCUUCAUAUUUGCGAUUGCAGCAAUUCUGGUGGUAUGCAUCGGUAUAUUACUCCUCGUGAUUCUCUUGACAGUGGCCAUACUUUCUCGGUAACCUGCCCUCCAGCUCAUGAGCAAAUCACCAAAUAUAUACAGCAGCAUUACUUA